ACCAAAUUUAUAGUGAAACUGCGAAUGGCUCAUUAAAUCAGUUAUAAUUUACUUGAUAAUUUUAUACCAGUGGAUAACCGUGGUAAUUCUAUGGCUAAUACAUACAUUAAAGGGCCUUACUAUGUAAGGCCUGUAGUUAUUAGAUAAAAAACCAAUGCAUGCAAAUGCUUUUUUGGUGAUUCAUAGUAAACUUACAGAUCGUUGUCUUCGACGACGUGUCAAUCAAAUUUCUGCCCUAUCAACUGUCGAUGGUAAGGUAGUGGCUUACCAUGGUUGCAACGGGUGACGGGGAAUAAGGGUUCUAUUCCGGAGAGGGAGCCUGAGAAACGGCUACCACAUCCAAGGAAGGCAGCAGGCGCGCAAAUUACCCAAUCCUAAUACAGGGAGGUAGUGACAAUAAAUAACAAUCCAGGGCCCUUAUGGGUCAUGGAAUUGGAAUGAAUACAAAUUAAAACUCUUAAUGAGGAACCAUUGGAGGGCAAGUCUGGUGCCAGCAGCCGCGGUAAUUCCAGCUCCAAUAGCGUAUAUUAAAGUUGUUGCAGUUAAAACGCCCGUAGUCGAAUUUUUGGGGGAAUGAGGAUUUGAAAGGGUUUUAGCCUUUGGUUAAUAAUCUUUUCUUUUUCUUGGUCCCUCAUUUUAUAUUCCUGGUCUUUGGGCUUAGUUGGUACUUUACUGUAUCGAUUAAGUCAUUUCCCUCGGGUGGGCCAGGAAUGAUUACUUUGAAAAAAUUAGAGUGUUCAAAGCGGGCUUUUUAAGCCGAAUACAUUAGCAUGGAAUAAUAAAAUAAGACUAUGGUUUUAUUUUGUUGGUUUAUAAAACUAAAGAAAUGAUGAAUAGGUCUGGUUGGGGAUAUUAGUAUUUAAUAGUCAGAGGUGAAAUUCUUGGAUUUAUGAAAGACUAACUUCUGCGAAAGCAUUUAUCAAGGACAGGCUCAUUGAUCAAGGACGAAAGUUGGGGGAUCGAAGAUGAUUAGAUACCGUCGUAGUCUCAACCAUAAACUAUGCCAACUAGGGAUUGGGGCUGUUUUUAACAGUCUCAGCACCUUGUGAGAAAUCAAAGUUUU
RNAcentral lists this ribosomal RNA (1063 nucleotides) under Furia ithacensis. RNAcentral describes it as "SSU rRNA". It matches the Rfam family "Eukaryotic small subunit ribosomal RNA", at positions 69 to 1107 of the family's 1831-position model. The record is from RNAcentral. Lineage: Eukaryota; Fungi; Entomophthoromycota; Entomophthoromycetes; Entomophthorales; Entomophthoraceae.